Molecule: ribosomal RNA, 425 nt
Filed under: uncultured bacterium
Lineage: Bacteria
Description: partial 16S ribosomal RNA
Rfam family: Bacterial small subunit ribosomal RNA
Source: RNAcentral
GUGGGGAAUAUUGGGCAAUGGGCGAAAGCCUGACCCAGCAACGCCGCGUGAAGGAAGAAGGUUUUCGGAUCGUAAACUUCUAUCCUUGGUGAAGAUAAUGACGGUAGCCAAGAAGGAAGCCCCGGCUAACUACGUGCCAGCAGCCGCGGUAAUACGUAGGGGGCAAGCGUUGUCCGGAAUGAUUGGGCGUAAAGGGCGCGUAGGCGGCCCGGUAAGUCUGAAGUGAAAGUCCUGCUUUUAAGGUGGGAAUUGCUUUGGAUACUGGCGGGCUUGAGUGCAGGAGAGGUAAGCGGAAUUCCCGGUGUAGCGGUGAAAUGCGUAGAGAUCGGGAGGAACACCAGUGGCGAAGGCGGCUUACUGGACUGUAACUGACGCUGAGGCGCGAAAGUGUGGGGAGCAAACAGGAUUAGAUACCCGGGUAGUCC